GUCGGGAUAGCUCAGCUGUAGAGCAGAGG
RNAcentral lists this transfer RNA (29 nucleotides) under Morus alba (white mulberry). RNAcentral's name for it is "partial tRNA-Phe". RNAcentral also lists the same sequence under 14 other names. The record is from RNAcentral. Lineage: Eukaryota; Viridiplantae; Streptophyta; Magnoliopsida; Rosales; Moraceae.